This 460-nucleotide ribosomal RNA is filed under the name uncultured bacterium. Its description in RNAcentral is "partial 16S ribosomal RNA". It matches the Rfam family "Bacterial small subunit ribosomal RNA", at positions 338 to 795 of the family's 1533-position model. The record is from RNAcentral.
CCUACGGGAGGCAGCAGUGAGGAAUAUUGGUCAAUGGGCGCGAGCCUGAACCAGCCAAGUCGCGUGAGGGAGGAAGGCACUACGGGUUGUAAACCUCUUUUGCCGGGGAGCAACGGGUGCCACGUGUGGCGUCACUGAGAGUACCCGGGGAAAAAGCAUCGGCUACCUCCGUGCAAGCAGCCGCGGUAAUACGGAGGAUGCGAGCGUUAUCCGGAUUUUGUGGGUUUAAAGGGUGCGUAGGCGGAUCUUUGAGUCAGUGGUAAAAGUGAGGGGCCCAACCCCUUCCCGCCAUUGAAACUGGCGUUCUUGAGUGGGAGAGAAGUAUGCGGAAUGCGUGGUGUAGCGGUGAAAUGCAUAGAUAUCACGCAGAACCCCGAUUGCGAAGGCAGCAUGCCGGCUUCCGACUGACGCUGAGGCACGAAAGCGUGGGGAUCGAACAGGAUUAGAUACCCCAGUAGUC